This 525-nucleotide ribosomal RNA is filed under the name Pseudomonas sp. Z3S-45. RNAcentral describes it as "bacterial SSU rRNA". It matches the Rfam family "Bacterial small subunit ribosomal RNA", at positions 74 to 595 of the family's 1533-position model. The record is from RNAcentral. Lineage: Bacteria; Pseudomonadati; Pseudomonadota; Gammaproteobacteria; Pseudomonadales; Pseudomonadaceae.
AGAAGCUUGCUUCUCUUGAGAGCGGCGGACGGGUGAGUAAUGCCUAGGAAUCUGCCUGGUAGUGGGGGAUAACGUCCGGAAACGGACGCUAAUACCGAAUACGUCCUACGGGAGAAAGCAGGGGACCUUCGGGCCUUGCGCUAUCAGAUGAGCCUAGGUCGGAUUAGCUAGUUGGUGAGGUAAUGGCUCACCAAGGCGACGAUCCGUAACUGGUCUGAGAGGAUGAUCAGUCACACUGGAACUGAGACACGGUCCANACUCCUACNGGAGGCAGCAGUGGGGAAUAUUGGACAAUGGGCGAAAGCCUGAUCCAGCCAUGCCGCGUGUGUGAAGAAGGUCUUCGGAUUGUAAAGCACUUUAAGUUGGGAGGAAGGGCAGUUGCCUAAUACGUAACUGUUUUGACGUUACCGACAGAAUAAGCACCGGCUAACUCUGUGCCAGCAGCCGCGGUAAUACAGAGGGUGCAAGCGUUAAUCGGAAUUACUGGGCGUAAAGCGCGCGUAGGUGGUUUGUUAAGUUGGAUGU